Molecule: ribosomal RNA, 782 nt
Filed under: uncultured bacterium
Lineage: Bacteria
Description: bacterial SSU rRNA
Rfam family: Bacterial small subunit ribosomal RNA
Source: RNAcentral
GCGGCUUGCCUAACACAUGCAAGUCGAACGGGAAUCUUCGGAUUCUAGUGGCGGACGGGUGAGUAACGCGUAAGAAUCUAACUUCAGGACGGGGACAACAGUGGGAAACGACUGCUAAUACCCGAUGUGCCGCGAGGUGAAACCUAAUUGGCCUGAAGAAGAGCUUGCGUCUGAUUAGCUAGUUGGUGGGGUAAGAGCCUACCAAGGCGACGAUCAGUAGCUGGUCUGAGAGGAUGAGCAGCCACACUGGGACUGAGACACGGCCCAGACUCCUACGGGAGGCAGCAGUGGGGAAUUUUCCGCAAUGGGCGAAAGCCUGACGGAGCAACGCCGCGUGAGGGAGGAAGGUCUUUGGAUUGUAAACCUCUUUUCUCAAGGAAGAAGUUCUGACGGUACUUGAGGAAUCAGCCUCGGCUAACUCCGUGCCAGCAGCCGCGGUAAUACGGGGGAGGCAAGCGUUAUCCGGAAUUAUUGGGCGUAAAGCGUCCCCAGGUGGUCAACCAAGUCCCCCGUCAAAUCAGGUUGCUUAACGACCUAAAGGCGGUGGAAACUGGCAGACUAAAGAACAGUAGGGGUAGCAGGAAUUUCCAGUGUAGCGGUGAAAUGCGUAGAGAUUGGGAAGAAUAUCGGUGGCGAAAGCGUGCUACUGGGCUGUAUCUGACACUUAAGGACGAAAGCUAGGGGAGCGAAAGGGAUUAAAUACCCCUGUAGUCCUAGCCGUAAACGAUGGAUACUAGGCGUGGCUUGUAUUACCCCAACCGUGCCCAAACUUACGCGUUAUU